UACAGAGACUGCAAGCGUUAUUCGGAUUCACUGGGCGUAAAGGGUGCGCAGGCGGUUAUGUGUGUUAGAUGUGAAAGCCCGAGGCUCAACCUCGGAAUUGCGUCUAAAACUACAUGACUAGGGUACCGGAGAGGAUAGCGGAAUUCACGGUGUAGCAGUGAAAUGCGUAGAUAUCGUGAAGAACACCAGCGGCGAAGGCGGCUAUCUGGAAGGUAACUGACGCUCAGGCACGAAAGCGUGGGGAGCAAAAGGG
RNAcentral lists this ribosomal RNA (253 nucleotides) under uncultured bacterium. RNAcentral's name for it is "partial 16S ribosomal RNA". It matches the Rfam family "Bacterial small subunit ribosomal RNA", at positions 524 to 776 of the family's 1533-position model. The record is from RNAcentral.